Ahaetulla prasina is the source of this 520-nucleotide long non-coding RNA. RefSeq lists it as uncharacterized. The record is from RefSeq and is a predicted model, not a curated record. NCBI's taxonomy places the organism in Eukaryota, Metazoa, Chordata, Lepidosauria, Squamata, Colubridae. The transcript has 3 exons.
CUGAGGACUCACAUGAUAUGCAAGAGAGAAACAAAUAAAGCAGUUAUUACCAAACUGCUCGGCACUUGGGCUCGGCAAACCAGCCCUCAAAUACGUAGCACAUUGCCUGGCGAUGAAGUUCCUUCACAUGUACAGUACUGAGAGGUGAGAUACAAACACAUCAAAAUGAGGAAAAAGUCGUUCAAUUAUAAAGUAUACAACCAUUUACCGGCAUUCAAGAAAUGAAGGACUUUUCUUCAGAUCAAGAACUGUUAUUUGGUUUUUGAAUGGCAUUCAAGGAAGUGGUCUUCAAUUAAAAAAGUACAGACGGAUAAAAACAAAAACUAGUUAAUACAAAUUAAUUAGAGGCAACCACGCUUCUAGUUCCAUGAUGGCGAACCUAUGGCACAUGUGCCACAAGUGGCAUGCAGAGCCAUAUCUGCGGGCACGCAAGCUGUUGCCCUAGCUCAGCGCCAGUGCUGAUUUUCAGCUGGCCCCGCCCACACCACCCUUCCCCUCCCAGGAGUCUCCACGCAACCGU